RNAcentral lists this ribosomal RNA (776 nucleotides) under uncultured Neocallimastigales. RNAcentral's name for it is "partial large subunit ribosomal RNA". It matches the Rfam family "Eukaryotic large subunit ribosomal RNA", at positions 18 to 616 of the family's 3401-position model. Lineage: Eukaryota; Fungi; Neocallimastigomycota; Neocallimastigomycetes; Neocallimastigales. The record is from RNAcentral.
UCAGACGAUGCGUCAUGCAUAUCAAUAAGCGGAGGAAAAGAAACUAACAAGGAUUCCCCUAGUAACGGCGAGUGAAGCGGGAAGAGCUCAAAUUUGAAAUCUUAAAGGGUUUCCCUUUACGAAUUGUAGUUUAAAGAAGUGUUUUCUGUUGAGGUUUUGGUAAAAGUUCUUUGGAGUAGGACAUCAUAGAGGGUGAGAAUCCCGUAUUUGACCUUUACUUUCAACUUUGUGAUACACUUUCAAAGAGUCGGAUUGUUUGGGAAUGCAGUCCAAAAUGGGUGGUAAAUAUUCAUCUAAGGCUAAAUAUUGGCGAGAGACCGAUAGCGAACAAGUACCGUGAGGGAAAGAUGAAAAGGAACUUUGAAAAGAGAGUUAAACAGUACGUGAAAUUGUCAAAAGGGAAGCGUUUGACACCAGUGUUGUUUUUCUGAAAAUCAAUUAAAGAACUGUUUAUGCUAAGUUGUUUAGACUUUAUCAGCUAACUGUUUAGUUUUGAGCUUUUCUUUAAUGCACUUUUCAGUUAACAAGUCAACAUCAAUUUCUUUUGCUGUAAAAAAGCUUGAGGAAGGUGGCUUGAGAUUCGUCUUAAGUGUUUAUAGCCUCUUGCCUAUGCAGUCGGAGAGAUUGAGGUCUGCAGCGUAGAUCCUUCGGGGCUAAAUGCAUUUGUGCUAAGUUAAAGCAUUUUAUAGACAACUUGUUGACUAUGAUUUGUCUUGUAGCUUACUCGCUUAUGUUAUUUUACCUACGCUUAGGAUGUUGAGCGCAUGUCUCUCUCU